GUGGAAGGGGUGGAAGGAGUAGGGAGGGAGGAGUCGAAGGAGUGGAUGGGAGGGGUGGGAGGAGUAGGAGGAAGGGGUGGAAGGAGUGGGAGGGAGGGGUGGAAGGAGUGGAAGGAGUGGAUGGGAGUGGUGGAAGGAGUAGGAGGGAGGGGUGGAAGGAGGGGAGAAAGGGGUGGAAGGAGUGGAAGGAGUGGAUGGGAGGGGUGGAAGGAGUAGGAGGGAGGGGUGGAAGGAGUGGGAGAAAGGGGUGGAAGGAGUGGAAGGAGUGGAUGGGAGGGUGGAAGGAGUAGGAGGGAGGGGUGGAAGGAGUGGAUGGGAGGGGUGGAAGGAGUAGGAGGGAGGGGUGGAAGG
Oncorhynchus tshawytscha (Chinook salmon) is the source of this 351-nucleotide long non-coding RNA. The record is from Ensembl. NCBI's taxonomy places the organism in Eukaryota, Metazoa, Chordata, Actinopteri, Salmoniformes, Salmonidae.